Molecule: long non-coding RNA, 537 nt
Filed under: Salmo salar (Atlantic salmon)
Lineage: Eukaryota; Metazoa; Chordata; Actinopteri; Salmoniformes; Salmonidae
Description: lncRNA (ENSSSAG00000089303.1, ENSSSAG00000096901.1)
Source: RNAcentral
GUUCAUCUCAGCCUAUGCUACCCUCCAGUCCCUAGACUUCCUGGCGCUGACGGAAACAUGGAUCACCACAGAUAACACUGCUACUCCUACUGCUCUCUCCUCGUCUGACUACGUGUUCUCGCAUACCCCUAGAGCAUCGAGCCAGCGGGGUGGUGGCACUGGAAUCCUCAUCUCUCCCAAGUGGACAUUCUCUCUUUCUCCUCUGACCCAUCUGUCUAUCUCCUCAUUUGAAUUCCAUGCUGUCACAGUUACCAGCCCUUUCAAGCUUAACAUCCUUAUCAUUUAUCGCCCUCCAGGUUCCCUUGGAGAGUUCAUCAAUGAGCUUGACGCCUUGAGAAGUUCCUUUCCUGAGGAUGGCUCACCUCUCACAGUUCUGGACCAUUUCCGGAGACCUUCUCCCCUACCUCACCUCGCUCAUCAACGCAUCCUUGACCGCUGGCUACGUCCCUUCCGUCUUCAAGAGAGCGAGAGUUGCACCCCUUCUGAAAAAAACCUACACUCGAUCCCUCCGAUGUCAACAACUACAGACCAGUAUCC